Molecule: ribosomal RNA, 913 nt
Filed under: Botrytis cinerea
Lineage: Eukaryota; Fungi; Ascomycota; Leotiomycetes; Helotiales; Sclerotiniaceae
Description: LSU rRNA
Rfam family: Eukaryotic large subunit ribosomal RNA
Source: RNAcentral
GCAUAUCAAUAAGCGGAGGAAAAGAAACCAACAGGGAUUACCUCAGUAACGGCGAGUGAAGCGGUAAAAGCUCAAAUUUGAAAUCUGGCUCUUUUAGAGUCCGAAUUGUAAUUUGUAGAAGAUGCUUCGGGUGUGGUUCCGGUCUAAGUUCCUUGGAACAGGACGUCAUAGAGGGUGAGAAUCCCGUAUGUGACUGGAUACCUAUGCUCAUGUGAAGCUCUUUCGACGAGUCGAGUUGUUUGGGAAUGCAGCUCAAAAUGGGAGGUAUAUUUCUUCUAAAGCUAAAUAUUGGCCAGAGACCGAUAGCGCACAAGUAGAGUGAUCGAAAGAUGAAAAGCACUUUGGAAAGAGAGUUAAACAGUACGUGAAAUUGUUGAAAGGGAAGCGCUUGCAAUCAGACUUGCACUUGGUGUUCAUCAGGGUCUCGUACCCUGUGUACUUCAUCAAGUUCAGGCCAGCAUCAGUUUGAGUGGUUAGAUAAAGGCUUAGAGAAUGUGGCCCUCUUCGGGGGGUGUUAUAGCUCUAGGUGCAAUGUAGCCUACUUGGACUGAGGACCGCGCUUCGGCUAGGAUGCUGGCGUAAUGGUUGUAAGCGACCCGUCUUGAAACACGGACCAAGGAGUGUACCUAAUAUGCGAGUGUUUGGGUGUUAAACCCAUACGCGUAAUGAAAGUGAACGCUGGUGAGAACCCUUAAGGGUGCAUCAUCGACCGAUCUUGAUGUCUUCGGAUGGAUUUGAGUAAGAGCAUAUUGGGUGCGACCCGAAAGAUGGUGAUCUAUACGUGAAUAGGGUGAAGCCAGAGGAAACUCUGGUGGAGGCUCGCAGCGGUUCUGACGUGCAAAUCGAUCGUCAAAUUUGCGUAUAGGGGCGAAAGACUAAUCGAACCAUCUAGUAGCUGGUUUCCUGCCGAAGU